UACGAAGGGAGCAAGCGUUGUCCGGAUUUAUUGGGCGUAAAGAGCGUGUAGGCGGCCAGACAGGUCCGUUGUGAAAACUGGAGGCUUAACCUCCAGACGUCGAUGGAAACCGUCUGGCUAGAGUCCGGAAGAGGAGAGUGGAAUUCCUGGUGUAGCGGUGAAAUGCGUAGAUAUCAGGAGGAACGCCGGAGGCGAAAGCGAGUGACUGGCGCGUUCCUGACGCUGAGGUGCGAAAGCUAGGGGAGCAAACAGG
Molecule: ribosomal RNA, 253 nt
Filed under: uncultured bacterium
Lineage: Bacteria
Description: partial 16S ribosomal RNA
Rfam family: Bacterial small subunit ribosomal RNA
Source: RNAcentral